Molecule: long non-coding RNA, 759 nt
Organism: Cyprinus carpio (common carp)
Lineage: Eukaryota; Metazoa; Chordata; Actinopteri; Cypriniformes; Cyprinidae
Exons: 5
Source: RefSeq, a predicted model, not a curated record
ACUGCUGGCAGUAACUCAUGCUGUCAUAAUGGAAAGGAAGCAGCACCUAAUGCACUAUAAAACCACAUAUAGAGCCACGUUAUGAAGACACUUCCCAGCAAUCUCUGCUGAGGUCUUCAUGGUUACAUGCAGAUGGGGAUCCAGCUGCUGCGGGACGCUAGCUGAAUGAACAGUAAGUGCUUCAUCUAAGCGACUGCUCAAGCGAAAUGAGAUGCUUCAGAGUCUUUCCUGGAGGCCGCUGACUGUAUGCAGUUCUCUCACACUCCCUCCCACAACACCAAAUGAAAAAUGAGACUCCUCUCUGCUUGUUACCUUCCAGGACGAGAGGACAAUUACUCUAUUAGGACAAAAUGUGCAUGGAAUCAGAUCUGCAAUGUUUUAAGGUUCAGAUGGGAAGCACCCUGAGGGAGUGUGUGGCCUCUUUUAAAUGCCAGAUGUGUCAUUCAGAGUCUGUGUGUCAUAUUGAUAACAAGGACACGCUCCAAGGCCUGCACUGGGUGACGACACAGAGAACAGCAAUGCUGAGGUCAGUGCCAGUGCAGAUGAAAUUUCAGGGCCAAAUAAACCAGCCUCUCCGUAUCAACACUAGAUUAUCACUACGAGGGAUCUGCUAAUCAAAAUAUGGCCUCUUCUAUGUCCACCCCUUUGGGUUCCCUCCGACCUCUCCAGUAGGCCAGAUGACUCUGAAGCUCUGCCCGUAGUUGGGCUUCAUCGAAAGGAGCGACCCUUGUCCCAAUGGUUCCACUAGAGCCUUGGUGA